AAAACCUGUCGGGUUUGACUUCAAAGUUUGCAAUCUUUUUAAUAACAGUUUCCAAUAGGAUCCUCAGUUUGUGAUUGUAACCAACCACAGUCACCUGAAAACCACUGUCUGUAUUGGUAAUGCCAUAGUAUAGACCAGCAACCUGUGCAUAAUAAGCAUAUUCGUUCAGAUAAUCCAUUAGCAACUGAGUAAAAAUAUCAGUUAGAACUUCAGCCUCAGGAGAGCUGCCACCAUGGGGGCAACUGAAAUCUAUCUUAACAUAAGCCUUGGGCGUACGGAAUGCUGUGUCAGGCUUGUACCAUAAAGAUGAAUAGGACGACUUUUUUAACAGAACUGGAAAUUUGACCUUCUCUUGAGCAUCCUUCAGUGAUAGGUCAGUAGGGAUGAACACAUUCGGUGCUGGUAAAUGCAGCUUAUCAUUAGGAGCAGACAGCAUCCAUUCCUGAAUCAUGGAGCUGGUGAUUUUCUCAACAGUAUAUGCUGUUCCAUACCAUGGCUCUACCUUAUCAGUUUGUCCUUCAAAUUUCUUUGAUUCCCAAAAGAU
RNAcentral lists this unclassified non-coding RNA (544 nucleotides) under Hevea brasiliensis (rubber tree). The record is from RNAcentral. Lineage: Eukaryota; Viridiplantae; Streptophyta; Magnoliopsida; Malpighiales; Euphorbiaceae.